UCCCGUGAAAGCCAAAGUGCAAAUUUGGAGAAGCACCCUAGAAGGUGCCGGGGCUUCUCCCGUUUUAAGCAGACGGGAGAAGA
Molecule: transfer RNA, 83 nt
Filed under: Cyrtodactylus peguensis
Lineage: Eukaryota; Metazoa; Chordata; Lepidosauria; Squamata; Gekkonidae
Description: tRNA-Cys
Source: RNAcentral